AGUCUGAGCAUUGAAUUUCAAAUUUUAUUUUCUAUAAAGCAAUUUUUUUAUAAAAAUAUGAAAACUCUAACAAAACUCAAACUCGGUGUAGUAGACAAUUGGAAAUUGCGUAUCGCAUUCUCGUUCGUUGUGGGCCAUAUAAUAAUUCUUGUCGUGCCAUUCUUCUCUGUGAUUUUUCUCCUCAUGGAUAUUCUUGGCGAGGGGACGAAGUCAAACCCUGGUCAUAUUCGCGAAGAAAAUUAUUACACGGCUUUAACAGAAGGCCUACUUCUAAUUUCCCUGAUCGUGACAUUUUUCCUUGAAACGAUAACCAUGUUUUCGCCCCGAUUUGGAAAAAUGGUUGUCCUCGAGGUCGUGUUAGUGAUGGGAU
Folsomia candida is the source of this 370-nucleotide long non-coding RNA. RefSeq lists it as uncharacterized. The record is from RefSeq and is a predicted model, not a curated record. Lineage: Eukaryota; Metazoa; Arthropoda; Collembola; Entomobryomorpha; Isotomidae. The transcript is spliced from 3 exons.